GGAUCAUUACAAGAAGCCGAAAGGCUACUUCAAACCAUCGCGAACUCGUCCAAGUUGCUUCGGCGGCGCGGCACCCCUUAACGGGGGCGCCGCAGCCCUGCCUCUCCGGAGGUUCGGGGCGCCCGCCGGAGGUACGAAACUCUGUAUUAUAGUGGCAUCUCUGAGUAUAAAACAAAUAAGUUAAAACUUUCAACAACGGAUCUCUUGGUUCUGGCAUCGAUGAAGAACGCAGCGAAAUGCGAUAAGUAAUGUGAAUUGCAGAAUUCAGUGAAUCAUCGAAUCUUUGAACGCACAUUGCGCCCGGUAGUACUCUACCGGGCAUGCCUGUUCGAGCGUCAUUUCAACCCUCAAGCCCUGCUUGGUGUUGGGGCCCUACGGCUGCCGUAGGCCCUGAAAGGAAGUGGCGGGCUCGCUACAACUCCGAGCGUAGUAAUUCAUUAUCUCGCUAGGGAGGUUGCGGCGUGCUCCUGCCGUUAAAGACCCAUCUUUAACCAAGGUUGACCUCGGAUCAGGUAGGAAUACCCGCUGAACUUAAGCAUAUCAAUAAGCGGAGGAAAAGAAACCAACAGGGAUUGCCCUAGUAACGGCGAGUGAAGCGGCAACAGCUCAAAUUUGAAAUCUGGCUUCGGCCCGAGUUGUAAUUUGUAGAGGAUGCUUUUGGUGAGGUGCCUUCUGAGUUCCCUGGAACGGGACGCCAGAGAGGGUGAGAGCCCCGUAUAGUCGGCCACCGAUCCUUUGUAAAGCUCCUUCGACGAGUCGAGUAGUUUGGGAAUGCUGCUCAAAAUGGGAGGUAUAUCUCUUCUAAAGCUAAAUAUAGGCCAGAGACCGAUAGCGCACAAGUAGAGUGAUCGAAAGAUGAAAAGCACUUUGAAAAGAGGGUUAAAUAGCACGUGAAAUUGUUGAAAGGGAAGCGCUUGUGACCAGACUUGUGCCGGGCUGAUCAUCCAGUGUUCUCACUGGUGCACUCGACCCGGCUCAGGCCAGCGUCGGUUUUCGUGGGGGGAUAAAAGCUUCGGGAACGUGGCACCUUCGGGUGUGUUAUAGCCCGUUGCUUAAUACCUCCGUGGAGACCGAGG
RNAcentral lists this ribosomal RNA (1076 nucleotides) under Sordariomycetes sp. genotype 3. RNAcentral's name for it is "eukaryotic LSU rRNA". The stretch from base 499 to 1076 matches the Rfam family "Eukaryotic large subunit ribosomal RNA", at positions 1 to 591 of the family's 3401-position model. The record is from RNAcentral. Lineage: Eukaryota; Fungi; Ascomycota; Sordariomycetes.